RNAcentral lists this microRNA precursor (67 nucleotides) under Bombyx mori (domestic silkworm). RNAcentral's name for it is "mir-2774 microRNA precursor family". It matches the Rfam family "mir-2774 microRNA precursor family". The record is from Rfam by way of RNAcentral. Lineage: Eukaryota; Metazoa; Arthropoda; Insecta; Lepidoptera; Bombycidae.
AUAACAUUCGGACCGUCGGUCUACCGAGCAAUUCCACCCGCUCGGUGGAAGAUCUUCCCUUCGUCAU